Non-coding RNA from Triticum aestivum (bread wheat), 136 nucleotides. The record is from Rfam. Lineage: Eukaryota; Viridiplantae; Streptophyta; Magnoliopsida; Poales; Poaceae.
AUUCUACUCCCUCCGUUGUACAAUACAUGCCUUCUAUUUGUCAAAAUGUAUAUGUAUCUAGACAUGUUUUAGUAUAUAGGUACAUCCAUUUUUGGAAAAAUGGAAGUCAAGUAUUUUGGAACGGAGGGAGUACACA